Molecule: ribosomal RNA, 968 nt
Filed under: uncultured bacterium
Lineage: Bacteria
Description: bacterial SSU rRNA
Rfam family: Bacterial small subunit ribosomal RNA
Source: RNAcentral
GGUUAAACGACUUCGCCCUUAGAGUUUGAUUAUGGCUCAGGAUGAACGCUAGCGACAGGCCUAACACAUGCAAGUCGAGGGGCAUCGGGACGUAGCAAUACGUUGCCGGCGACCGGCGGAUGGGUGAGUAACGCGUAUGCAACCUACCCGUAGCAGGGGGAUAGCCCGUUGAAAGACGGAUUAAUACCCCGUAACACAGGGGCUCCGCAUGGAGAUUAUUGUUAAAGGGUCAUUUCUUUUUCAGGGAUGGUCCGGCUGCGGAUGGGCAUGCGUUCCAUUAGGUAGUUGGUGUAGGUAACGGCUCACCAAGCCGACGAUGGAUAGGGGAACUGAGAGGUUGGUCCCCCACACUGGUACUGAGACACGGACCAGACUCCUACGGGAGGCAGCAGUGAGGAAUUUUGGUCAAUGGACGCAAGUCUGAACCAGCCAUGUCGCGUGAAGGAGGACGGCCCUAAGGGUUGUAAACUUCUUUUGCAGUGGAAUAAAGUUUGCCACGUGUUGGCGAUUUGCAAGUACGCUGCGAAUAAGGAUCGGCUAACUCCGUGCCAGCAGCCGCGGUAAUACGGAGGAUCCAGGCGUUAUCCGGAUUUAUUGGGUUUAAAGGGUGCGCAGGCGGGGAAUUAGGUCGGCGGUGAAAUUUCGGGGCUCAACCUCGACAGUGCCGUUGAAACCGUUUCUCUUGAGUGCGGAUGAGGUAGGCGGAAUUUGUGGUGUAGCGGUGAAAUGCGUAGAUAUCACAAGGAACACCGAUUGCGGAGGCAGCUUACUAAACCGUUACUGACGCUCAUGCACGAAGGCGUGGGGAUCAAACAGGAUUAGAUACCCUGGUAGUCCACGCAGUAAACGAUGAUUACUUGCUGUUUGCGAUACACAGUAAGCGGCGUAGCGAAAGCGUUAAGUAAUCCACCUGGGGAGUACGUUCGCAAGAAUGAAACUCAAAUGAAUUGACGGAAGGCGAAUUCGCG